RNAcentral lists this transfer RNA (77 nucleotides) under Burkholderia ubonensis. Its description in RNAcentral is "tRNA-Met". It matches the Rfam family "tRNA". Rfam says of the family: Transfer RNA (tRNA) molecules are approximately 80 nucleotides in length. Their secondary structure includes four short double-helical elements and three loops (D, anti-codon, and T loops). Further hydrogen bonds mediate the characteristic L-shaped molecular structure. tRNAs have two regions of fundamental functional importance: the anti-codon, which is responsible for specific mRNA codon recognition, and the 3' end, to which the tRNAs corresponding amino acid is attached (by aminoacyl-tRNA synthetases). tRNAs cope with the degeneracy of the genetic code in two manners: having more than one tRNA (with a specific anti-codon) for a particular amino acid; and 'wobble' base-pairing, i.e. permitting non-standard base-pairing at the 3rd anti-codon position. The record is from RNAcentral. Lineage: Bacteria; Pseudomonadati; Pseudomonadota; Betaproteobacteria; Burkholderiales; Burkholderiaceae.
GGGCCUGUAGCUCAGUUGGUUAGAGCCGUCGACUCAUAAUCGACUGGUCGCCGGUUCGAGUCCGGCUAGGCCCACCA